CUCUAUGCUAAACACUGGGAAGAAUUGAGAUAUGUCUCACACAUAUUUCUUGUGAAGAACAAGUCAUGCCAACAUAUCUCCAACCUGCUCAAGGAUCAAAUCAGAAGAAAGAUGGGUAUUACAGGAAACAAAAAUGCUGGACCUUUCAUUCCUAAAUACUUCAAUCAUAAGGGACAGCUGGUUGAGAUGAAGAGAAAUUCAGCAAAGAUUGAAACAAUAGGUGGAAUCAGAACUCUUGCAUUUAAUGAAGAGUCUGAUAAAGCUUACAAUAUCAGGCUGGAUAGAGACUUGAAGAAGAACAAGAUUUAUGAUCUCAGAGCUGCAAUUUAUCAAACUGGAGUUUCAGAUCCAGAGC
Molecule: long non-coding RNA, 355 nt
Filed under: Daucus carota (carrot)
Lineage: Eukaryota; Viridiplantae; Streptophyta; Magnoliopsida; Apiales; Apiaceae
Description: long non-coding RNA (DCAR_LNC004792)
Source: RNAcentral